Molecule: non-coding RNA, 378 nt
Organism: Candoia aspera
Lineage: Eukaryota; Metazoa; Chordata; Lepidosauria; Squamata; Candoiidae
Source: the annotation of a RefSeq genome assembly
AUGUGGAUGCUGCUGCUGGUCCUCUUCUCUUACUCUUCAGGUGUAAUGUACCAGUACACCCUGAGUCAGCCACCUUCCCUCUCCCUGUCCCUGGGACAACCAGCAAAACUCUCCUGCAACAUUAGCAGUGGCUUCUACUUUGCUUACUUCAUCUGGUUCCAGCAGAAGGAAGAGGAAAGGCCCAGGUUUCUUCUGUAUUAUAAUACAACCUCCAGUGAGACCAAAUUGGGCUCUGAUGCCUCUGGUCAUUUCUCUACAUCCACAAACACCCCAAAGAAAAUUGCCUACCUAAGCAUCAGCAGUGUGCAGGCAAAGGAUGAAGGUGACUAUUAUUGUGCUCUUUGGAGACACAGUGUGGAACGUCAGAGAGGAGCAUGA